Molecule: ribosomal RNA, 264 nt
Filed under: uncultured archaeon
Lineage: Archaea
Description: partial 16S ribosomal RNA
Rfam family: Archaeal small subunit ribosomal RNA
Source: RNAcentral
AGACGUCUACAUUAGAUACCCCUGUAGUCCCAGCCGUAAACUAUGCGCGUUAGGUGUAUCGGUGACCACGAGUUACCGAGGUGCCGAAGGGAAACCGUGAAACGUGCCGCCUGGGAAGUACGGUCGCAAGGCUGAAACUUAAAGGAAUUGGCGGGGAGCACCACAACGGGUGGAGCCUGCGGUCUAAUUGGACUCAACGCCGGGAAGCUCACCGGAUAAGACAGCGGAAUGAUUGCCGGGCUGAAGACUCUGCAUGACUAGCUG